UUUAAACCAUUUGACUCAUAUUUCUGAAAAGCUGAUUCGGAGUCGUGGUGUCCAGUGGAAUCCCACAUUUCAACUAAAAUCCAUGACUCAACUGGAUUAACCUCAAUAGGUUAAUCCAGGAUCGAGUCACGGUUUCUAGGGUUGUUAUAAAAAGCCUAGAUUCACGGUGAAUCAAAAUUUUUGGAGUCGUGCGAUUUUUACGGUGAAGGUCGAUCGCAGUUUACCUGAAACAGAUAAAGGGAGACGCUCGCAGCUGAGAAGAAUUUGAAAGCCGAGUUGAUUGAAGGUUGUAAACUUUAUAUCUAGGGUUUACCCUCUUUUCAAAUCAGACGCUUGAAUCCGAGGUUUGAAUCUGCAAAACCGAGUUGAUUGGAGACCAUCGAGAUCACUUCUUUACUGAGCUCAGAAUUCUAAUUGAUAAAAGGAGUAGUGAUCAUGGCACUCAUGAGGUCAACCAAAAGGCCUAUAGUUGAUGAUCCCAUCACUAUUUGAUCAAGGUGGGAAAAAAAAUCUUAGAGCUUAUUCGAGAUUCAGGCAACUAGACGUCUGGUUCAGAGCAGGGCAGGUGGCAAUCAGAACUUACCCAAGUAGCAAUAGAGUUGAUUGAGUUUUGAUGUGAUGGAACCAAUAGGAGAUUCUAAUAGUAGGUCACGGGACAUUGUUUCAUGGCCUAGUGCCGUUUCUCAUUACAUGUUGGAGUGUAUAUUGAAGCAGUACAAGAGUGGUAAGAGUGGAGAUAAUGGACUGAAAAAAGAGCAGUUCAUUGAAAUUGCCAACCAACUGAAAGAAAUUAUUUACUAGUUACGACUGUGAACAAGUGAGAAACCACUUCUGGAUUUGGAAGCAAAGGCUUAGAGCAUUGGGUGACCUACAGAAGCAAAGUGGAUUGGGUUGGAAUGCAUCUGAUAUGAGAUUUGAUGCUCUUCAACACUUCUGGAAUGACUAUAGGAAAAAAGAACAAAAGUAUUGGAAGGAACAUAGUGUGCUCCCAAUUCACCUUGAAGUUGGAGCUUUGCUAAGGAAAGAGAUGGCAACUGGGAAUGAUUCAACAAUCCCCUCUGAAACUGCCACUGCAGUUAUGAUGGACGUGAUAGGUACUCAGGUUGAGGGAAUAGGGAACAAUGAUGGUGUUGAAUAUGAACCUAUUGAAGAAAAGAGGAAGAAGGGCGCAGCUGAAAAGGUGGUAAGUCCAUUGAAAUCGAUUGCUAACUCAAUCGAAAAGAUGUUAAUGAGUGAAUCUUAGUCUGAAUUUGGGAGAGCAAUUAUAGAAGUUGUUGAUGCCAUUCCAGACCUCAAUUUUCAACAAAAGUUUAAAGCCAAGGAAUAUUUCAUGGCCAAGAAGAAUUCUGCCAUUAUCUUAUUGGAAACAAGAGUAGAAGAUAGGCGAAAUCUACUUGAGAUGUACUUGCCAGAGAUUGAGAAGAAUUGAGGUGACAAUAGGAACUGUGAAGAAUUCGAAGACAAUGGUUUUUGGAAUAGAAAUUUGAUGUGUUUGGUUGAUGUAACUUGAUAUUAUGUUAAGUCUGUGACAGUAUUUUCUAUGCAUAUUUCAUCUCUUGAAAAUGUUUGUGUUAACUUACAGAUGACAUCGAAUGUAUCCGCUUAUGCUAUUGCGAAGUGUGAUUACUGUGGUAAAGAUUGUUCAAUUUUCACUUCUAAGUCAGGGUCACAUGUUGGAAGAAAAUUUUUUAAAUGUUCAUUGAAUUGCCCCUUCUUCAUGUGGGUUAACCAUCUUAAGAUGUGUGAGUGUGGGAACGGUCAAUGUAAGGUCAGAAUUGCGAAGACAAGUGCAAAUUAUGAUCGAUAUUUUUGGUGUUGUCCACAAUCAACUGGGGUUGAAAACAAAGGUUGUGGAAUGUUCGAAUGGAUAUCAAAUUCAAGCCCAAGUUGUCAUACUUACUAGACUCCACCUAGGUCACUAUGCUCGGAAACCUCAACUUCAUCAUCUCCUUCCCCUUCAUCAGACUAUAUCAAAGGAUACUUGAACGGUGCAAUAAAAGAAUCGGAGGGUCAUACGAGGAUAUUGAGAGAUGUUCUUGACACACUCAAGAAGCUUGAUUUAAAAAAAAAUGUAGGAUGAACUUUUUUGGAAUUUUUUGGAAAACAAAAAGGCCGAAGCCAUUGUAAUGAUAAACGUUUCAUUAUCCUUUUUUUUUAUAUAUAGAAAGACUUAAUUAUCAUUUAAUAGUACUUGGAUGAACUCAAUACUAUAUUAUACCUUUAUAUGCUUCUUCUCUCAUUUGGUCC
This is a long non-coding RNA of Macadamia integrifolia, 2247 nucleotides long. RefSeq lists it as uncharacterized. The transcript has 9 exons. Lineage: Eukaryota; Viridiplantae; Streptophyta; Magnoliopsida; Proteales; Proteaceae. The record is from RefSeq and is a predicted model, not a curated record.